Molecule: long non-coding RNA, 5009 nt
Organism: Mustela lutreola (European mink)
Lineage: Eukaryota; Metazoa; Chordata; Mammalia; Carnivora; Mustelidae
Exons: 6
Source: RefSeq, a predicted model, not a curated record
GAUAAUUAAUUAUUUGAUAGCAGAGUAUCGCUAAUUGUUUUAUGGCUUGGCAACUGUGUGGUGCUUUAGAAUUGCUUCUAAGCCAAAAUAAAAAACCAUGCACCUUCCAGAUAUUUUGAAAAAAAGGAAUGAUGUUUGAGUAGAGGGAGUGAUAGAGGGAAAGUCCAAAGGUUUCUGCUUGGAGGGGAAAGAGGAAGAGAACAAAUAUCCUUUGAGGACCUACUGUGGGCUGGGCGCUGUCAACUGACUUUCUACCUUGUUCUUUCUGAUCCACUGCUAUUAGAAGUUAGGGCUAUUAGCUUGGCAGAGACUCGGAGAGGUUAAUAAAUUUUGCACAAAGUCGCAGAGCCAGUGAGCAGCAGAGCUGCAGUUUCAGCCCAGAGUCCAGCUGGGCCUGGGGAGUAUGGAGAGGUGGGGAGAGGAAGACCCGUCAGUGGUGAAGAUGGGCAGAAAGGAAAGGAGGAACUUGUGCGCAGAACAUCUCAUAGGAGUCAUGUUCCGUGGAACACACUUUGGGAACUAUUGCUAAUGGUGAAAGCCAGGAAGACUGAAGAGGAACAGGGAAGUUAAAAUCUGUAGUUUGGGAGCGCCUGGGUGGCACUGUUGUUUGAGCAUCUGACUCUUGAUUUCGGCUCAGGUCCUGAUUUCAGGGGUAUAGGAUGGAGUCCCAAAGUAGGCUCCCCACUCAGUGUGGAGUCUGCUUGGGAUUCUCUCUCCCUCUCCCUCUGCCGCUCCCACUCAUGCUCUCUCUCUCAUUCACAAAUAAAUACAUCUUUAAGGAAAAAAAAAACUAUAAAAUCUGUAGUUUGGCAGGAAAAGACAGAAGUUUGAAUAUCUUGAAAUCAGACAAAAAGGAAACCCUGUCUUAGAGGUCAGUGACAAGGGCAAACUGAACAUGAAUUUUGGCAAGAGGUGGCAUUUUUACAUAAAUAUCUAGUAUCAGAGCAUUUGAUAUUACUGGGCUUAUAUUUUUAUAAGACAAUAACCGGCCAUCCUGUCUCAGGCAAGCUGUCCUAUUUGCCACAGCCCUCCCCACCCCCUGCUUUAUGAUAGUUGGCCCCACUUACGUCAUUUAUGCUACAUGGAAGUGUUUGGGUUUGUGACCUCUGGUCCAGCUACAUUUAUAAGCCUCAUGGAAUCUGGAACAAGGAUUUAUACUCUAUAACUGCCACUCAGGUAUUUAUUUUUAGCACGAGUUCUUUUUUUUUUUUUCCUCAUUGUAGAAGUUACUCAUGCUGAUAGCAGAAAACUUAGAGAUAGAGAAAAAAAGAAAAAUAAAACUACAGCAUGCAUAAUAACCAAAGCUCAGAUAAUAACCUGAACUAUUAAUCUUCUGGUAUAUUCCUUCUCAUAUUUUUCUUUGCACUUGCAUAUCUAAGUUGUUGUCAUAUUUUGGAUCACACUGUAUAUGAAGUUUUAUAUCUCCCCUUAUUCAGAGGAUAUUCUAUUAGUUCCUAAGGAUGAUUUAUUCUGCUCUAUGGUAAUAGCUGAGUUUCUAAGAAAACUCAUUUUCUUAAAAAUCACUUAUAAUGAAACCAGAGAGGUUAGGGGCUAGAAAGUUUUAAACUCACAAUAAAAAAGGUAUUUUUCUGCCUGAAGUUCUAUCUUCGAGUUGCUUUUCAUAGUCAUAAGUGCACAGCUCUAAAAGUUAAACACUCGAAUAAAUCCAACAUUAUAUGGUUCAAAAAGGAUUGUAAUAAAAAAAAUGUCAAAGUGCAUGUGAAAGACUUGAAUGUGAUUUCAUUAAAUAUAAGAAUAGAAAAUGUAACUUUUCUAAGUUUACAUAUGAUAAUUUUACAAUACACGUAAGUGUGAUGACUUAUGUGUCAGGUAUAAUAAAAAUAUAAAUAGACAUUUAAUUGUUCCAUCUACCUUCCUAAAAGUUUAUCUCUUCCAAUGGCUCAAAACCCUCUUACACUGGAAAAAUUAGGGAUGGUCUUAGAUUAGGGGCAUAGUCAUCAUUUGGCACUUUAUUUAGACCCCCAGCAUCCCAUAAUGUGAGAGGGCUUUGGUGGUCAUUCCAGGUAACUGUCUCCUUGAAGUAUGAGUCCCUUCCACAAAUCACAACAAGUGAAUGUCCAUUCUUGGCACGAAGGUCUCCUGCAAUGGAAACCAAGUACCUCAGAGGUGCGAUCCAGAGCUUGUUGCUAAAUGCUCCUUCUUCACUGAAGCUGACUGUCUUCUGCCAACUCCCACCCAAUCACUCGAUUUUGCUCUUCAAGUUGAAAUCCAGUUCUUUUCCAUAUGGCAGCCUUUUAAGUAUUUCAAGAAAGCUAUUAUUUUGCCAAGCAGUCUUUUCUAAGUGAGGUGUCUUUAAUUUGUUUGAAUUUCUACUAUAUCAUAGUUUCUAGAUGUUUCUAGAAGCUCAGAAUGAUUUCAGGAUUGCAUAAAAGUAAAAAGGAGUCAAGUGAAGAUAUCUUUGGAUCAAAGCAAGAACAGGCAGGGGGAGGGAAUCUGGACCAUGGUAGUUAUCUCCCGUGUCAUCUCAAUCACUCCUCAUAGCUCCCAAAGAGACAGUGUUGGUCAAGACAUAAGAUCCUGUAAGUGACAGAAAACCAACUCAAGCUCGCUUAAGCAAAACACCUAAAUAGAUUAAUAAAGAACACUGAAAAUCCCAAAAGUUGGUCUUGGCCUUCAUUAAGUUCACUGAGUUCCUGGAUCAACUUAUGAUCUAGGAACUUGCAGCAAGAUCAUCAACUUAUGAUCCAGGAACUCAAAUAAUGCCACUUUUUACUUCUUAGCAAUGUAGUCUGGUAAAUGGCCUUCAUUCUUGGCCAAAAUUUGGUGACUCCUUGUAACUCCAGGUUCCCAUCCUCCUAAAUUCAAGUUCAGCAGGAAAAAGCCCCUUGUAGUUCCCAUAAAAGUCUCGUUGCAUCUCGUUGGUUUUGACUACAUCAUAUGCCUGUCUCAGAACCAAUGGUUGGGCAGGGGACAUGGGUGAUCUUAUUACCCAGGCCUGAAACCCAUGUCCACUUCUGAAUUUGAGAGAAAGCUUCACCCAAAAUGUGUAGACUAUGAAUGGGGGAGAGGUGGUUCCCCAGAAGGAAGUCUGGCUGCUGUUACCCAAAGGAGUGGGAAUGGAGCACCAGGUCAUCCAUGUCUAAUUAUUAUUAUUUUAACCUUCCAUUUAGAAACAAAGGAACCAAAGCUCUGAGACAGGAAGUUUUUGGUCCAAGGUCACACAUGGAGCAAUGGCUGCAAAGCUGUUCCUUUCCCCUCUGCCACAAGGGUAUUUUUGUUGACCUGAACUGAACCAUAGGAAAUGUAUCUCCAUUUUUUAUGAUUCAGUAACUUUAGGUGACAAAGUAACUCAUUUUAAGGCCUGGUUGAUAAACUCUCCUGAAUCAUUCAUGCCACGCUACACAUUUUAUCCAGAAUUCCUGGCAAAGGUGUUAGAAUUUCUCCAUGAUUAGCCAGUGAGCUCAUCAGCAUCUUCCCAGAACCUGGGGGCCGUGGCUGCUAGGACUUCAGAGGUUAGUCACCCACUUCAUCUCGAUUUUUCAUUUCCUGGUAGCAAGUCCGCUACUCUCUGUCCCAGGGUCUUGUCUGUUCAUGGACAGUCUGGAGAUAGCAGAGGGGAGCCCUGGGGUGAUCCUGCUCCAAGGAUAAGAUCUGUUUUGCCAGUGCACUGUUUUAAGACAUAAAUAUGAAUGCAUUGGUCACAAGGGGCACUAGUCCCCAUUAUCAGUAGAGUAUUAUACAUGAAUCUGUCUGUCCUGAAGAUAUUUGAACUACUACACCCCAAAAGACACUAGAAAGUUAAACUACAUCCCUUAUCAAGAGCAGAAUAGACUGUCAUGGAAUUGUGCAUGAAAUAUAUUCAUACAUGGGAUACCAGCCAGCCAUUAAAAAGAAUAAAACGAGGUGACUAAAUAUCAGUAUAGGCAAAUCUCAAAAAUAUGUUGAGUAAAAACAGCAAAAUUACUGAAGCUUACAUGCCAGAUCACACUGUCAGUGGUGUAGGGCUGCAUGCAAAGUAAAAAAUGUAAACACAUACGUAGCCAUUUCAAGAUGGCAGGCCUUCGGGGCAAGAGGAAGGGGCUUCACGUAGUAAAAGGGAAAUGGCGCAUCAUCAAUUUUAUUCGUAAUUUUUUUUCUCAAACUGAGUGGUGGAUAUAGGGAUGUUUGUCACCUUAUUCUCUGUACUUUUUAAAAAAUAAUAAAAUAUUUGAAAUGUUUGAUAAUGGGAUGUGUUCUGCCUGAGUCAUAGUUAAGUUUCCACCUGUUGGAUGCUGUAUGGGUCAGGACUUCAUAGCAGACAUGAUCUACUCAGGGUCCCAGCCAGGUUAAGCUGAAGAAGACCUGCUAGUGUUUACAGAAUUAUUAGGAUGAAGGCACAAGGCUGAGUUUUCAGGAAUAGCUUUGAGAACCAUGCUACAAAACAAGGGGCCACCAAGAGCACCACUGCCUUUUAAGAUCAUAAAAAGACCAGACUUUCAGCAGGGACACUUGCGAAGAGAAACAGUGGGAGAAGAAGUGUGGCUGCCCCCUCACUCCUCCUUUCUGGUGGUAGAAACUCAUGGGCAUCUGGGAAGUGUAAUUCUUUUUUUUUCUUUUUUUUUUAUUUUUUAAAUUUUUUAUUUUUUAUAAACAUAUAUUUUUAUCCCCAGGGGUACAGGUCUGUGAAUCGUCAGGUGGGAAGUAUAAUUCUGAACUGUCCAGCCCCUGAAGUGGGAGAAGACACAUGAGGAGAAGGUCUCCUCCCCACAGAAAUGUAAAUUUCAGUGGAGUAAGGAUCUCAUCAUCAUGUCCACCCCUCUGUCCUCACCUACUGGACAGUGCCUGGUCUGUGGUGGAAGGUGCCAGAAAAUUAAAUCUACUCUGAAUGACCCAGGGCAUCAUCACGAACGUUGAUUUUUAUACUGGACUGUCAUUUAAUCCUUUAGAGCAGCAGCAAUUUCUGGCUCUUCCUGACUCCAUUCUUCUCAGGCCUGUGGGAUCCAGACCCAAAGGAGAGUGGAAAAGAGAUUCGAACCUCCAGGAUGGCAUUCAGGCUUAAGUUCCAAGCU